CAUUAUGUGGUUCAUCAGAUAUUUCAUCUGAUUUAAAAAAAAGAUAUUUCAUCUAACAGACAAAUAAAGUUGAUGCCAACAGUUAAUGCAAAAGCUUCAAAGACGUUGUGCUCUGACAUUUUUAUGUUUUUUUAUCAGUUGUCUGUAGAAGACAUCAUGGAUUGAGUUGUUGAUGUCUAAUUUAUUUUCUAAAACUUUAAUGAAAAUCUGUCCAUAUUUUACUAACAGACAAUGUUGGCCCCAAUGGCUUUUUUGCAUGUGAUGUCACGCUUGGUGCAUUGUGGGUAUUGAGAGAAGGAUAACACCAGACUUGCUGCUAGCUGCUAGCUGCCUAGCUCUGACAGGAUGGUUUUCAUCUUAUUCCAACGUUCCCUGUCUGUAGAAAAACCUGUGGACUGCAAAUGGACGCUAUGAGCUGGAGACGCAGGUUAGCCUGGUCUGCAGCUACAAUAUCCCAUUCAAUCACAUAUCUGCAAACAUGCAAGUUUGUUCCAUGCAUUUUCAAUAAAGUAAGUGGAUUAUUUAUUAUAUGGUUUGUUUGUUUAUCUGGUCUGUGAUACAACAGUUAGCAUUAUUUAAUUUAUGUUGUUCUGUGUGCCUUAUUGUUGUUUAUGCUGUUGGUAAUAUAUAAAAUGAAUGAGCUGAAUGGUGUAGCAUUUUUCCUGCAUAUACAUGUCAUCACUUAUUCAUGACUCGCCAUAGUUGUAAAUGCAUUUAAUCUGUAAAUAAAUGGCUCGUGGAGAAUGUGCCAACAUAA
Long non-coding RNA from Austrofundulus limnaeus, 757 nucleotides. RefSeq lists it as uncharacterized. The record is from RefSeq and is a predicted model, not a curated record. Lineage: Eukaryota; Metazoa; Chordata; Actinopteri; Cyprinodontiformes; Rivulidae. The transcript has 2 exons.